GGUAAUGGGAGAAGCAAAGCCGAGAAGUUGAUGCUUGCUCCGAGCCCCACGCGGUCCUUCAUCGGUGGCUCAAGUCGCCUGUCAAUCAUCGCGCCCUGAGUGGGAUCGAGCUCUCGCGUAAACUCCACACAGAACAGCCAGAAUGAGUCACGGACCAUAUCAUGCCUUGGAUCAUACUUCACCUCCUUUAAGUUCUCCAGUAACUUCCCAUGACAUUGGAAUUAAGGCUACACUUCUCAGAAGGUUGGCUGCAAGCCUGCUGUAGAAGGUCCAGGCCCUGCAUCGGGUUACAGCUGCCUGCAGAGGGACAGAACCCUGCUCUUCCUGGUGCUCUCCUGAGGGAAGAAACCUUUCCAGAAGUCCCCUCUCUAGCAGACUAUUCACAUCUCCUUGGCUAGAAUGGAGUCACAUACAAAUUCCUACCGUGGUGGGGAGGGGGUUGUUAUCGAUCCUGACUACAGGUUCCUGUUCUAUUUCGUGUGUUGUGUGCAUCGGGCAAUUUUGUAAACUCUAGACUCCUCAGAGUGAUGUUUUAACUUUAAACAAUUGGAAUCAACUGUAGAGUGCUAUACUUAUGAAAAUCACUAAAUUCACAGCCUAUAGAUAUAUGCUAUCUUUUAUUGAUUACAACUAGAUUUUUUGUUUCCAAGACAAGGUU
This 658-nucleotide small RNA is filed under the name Rattus norvegicus (Norway rat). RNAcentral's name for it is "uncharacterized LOC108351257". Lineage: Eukaryota; Metazoa; Chordata; Mammalia; Rodentia; Muridae. The record is from RNAcentral.